RNAcentral lists this long non-coding RNA (416 nucleotides) under Capsella rubella. RNAcentral describes it as "long non-coding RNA (CRUB_LNC004963)". Lineage: Eukaryota; Viridiplantae; Streptophyta; Magnoliopsida; Brassicales; Brassicaceae. The record is from RNAcentral.
AAGAGGUAAAAGAUCCGAUGGAUAUCUGAUAGUGAUAUGGGUUUUCGGAUAUAGGCUGGUUGGAUCUGUAAUUGUUUUAUUUUAGUGAGGAUACACGUUUGUAUUUUAACCAAGUUUCAAUUUUUUUAAUUAAAUUUUUUUUUUCCCUUUGGUCAAACCCUUAGAAAAAUAGAAGAAGGAGUCAAAGGGUACAAGAUAUUUUAGUCCAUCAAUUGCCCGCUUCCUUUUUUUUUCCUUUUUGUUUUGAUUAAUAAGUGUCGGUUGUUUAGUCUUUGGUUACAUGUGUUCCACAAAAUAGUCUUUCGUUACACCAAACACAAAAAAAAAAGUUUUUGGUUUCUUUGAGAUAAAAAUAAAAUAAAAAUAUAGCCUUUAUCUCAAUUAUUUUCAAAUAAUUCAACCAACAAUAUAUAUAU